This 522-nucleotide long non-coding RNA is filed under the name Marmota monax (woodchuck). Lineage: Eukaryota; Metazoa; Chordata; Mammalia; Rodentia; Sciuridae. The record is from RNAcentral.
AUGUUACAUUACAGGGGAUGCUUAAUUGUUCUAAUAUUACCUGUUAUUUGUCUGAGUGUUGGAAUGGAUCCUGGCCUAUGGCAGUGGUUAUGAAAAUUCCAACCUUUGUCCCGAUCCCGGUUACUGCAGAUCCAGAAUCUUUUCCUAUUGUUGAACUGAUUAGAGCCCAUAGAGAUUUUGGAAUUAUGGCAGCUAUAGUGACAGCUGUGGCGGUAUCUGCUGCUGCAGCAGUUACAGCUGGAGUAGCCAUGGCCAGCCAAGUACAAACUGCUGCCACUAUUAAUCAGGUUAUUCAACAAACAUCCACCAUACUUGAAUCUCAAAGUAGAAUUAAUCAACACAUUCUAUCUGGGAUUUUGGCUGCUAAUCAAAGGAUAGAUCUGCUUCAAGCUCAAGUUGAGGAAUUGUCUGUUCUAGUACAUUUAGGUUGUAUUGAUCAACGUGCACAUUUAUGCAUAACCUCUGUCAGAUUUAAUGAUUCCAGGAAUGCCUCCCUCAUCAUUGGCGAAUAUUUGGCCGGAA